CGGACUCGACGCAGAAGAUGCACGCGACGAGGGCAGCGAAGGUCUCGUCGGUGAACUUGGUGAAGAAGCGGACGAGGUUGGAGGAGGAGGUGACCGCGACGAUCAUGAGGAGGAUGGAGGUCCAGAUACCGAUCCACGCGUAGGUACCGAAGAAGGGGAGGCCGUACUGGGCGCAGGUGGUGUAGAGGAUCGCGGUGUAGGUCACGACGGAACCGGUGGACGCGAGGAUGGACAUGGGCUGACCGCACAGCACCGCGUACAGGACACCACCGAUGGCGGUCGCGAGGAUCACCUCGGUCGCGCCGAGCAUGCCGGCGGUGGCGGAGGUGAGCACGGCGCCGAAGGCGACGGCGGGCGCGAGGGCCGCG
Molecule: long non-coding RNA, 368 nt
Filed under: Micromonas commoda
Lineage: Eukaryota; Viridiplantae; Chlorophyta; Mamiellophyceae; Mamiellales; Mamiellaceae
Description: long non-coding RNA (MCOM_LNC000138)
Source: RNAcentral